CCGCCGCCCGCCGCCCGCCGCACCUGGCUGCUCCGGCGUGUUUCCCUCCUCUCCGCCGCUCUCCAUUGCUGCCCCAAGGUGUUUAUUGUGAUUGGCAUGGUGAUUUGAGUGGGAUCGGUUGGAUUGUUGAAGGGGUGUGAUGGAUCUGAAAAGGAUUGAUGCUCAGUCCGUGCACGAUUCUAGCCAAUCCAGUGUGAC
Molecule: long non-coding RNA, 198 nt
Organism: Lolium rigidum
Lineage: Eukaryota; Viridiplantae; Streptophyta; Magnoliopsida; Poales; Poaceae
Exons: 3
Source: RefSeq, a predicted model, not a curated record